RNAcentral lists this ribosomal RNA (253 nucleotides) under uncultured bacterium. Its description in RNAcentral is "partial 16S ribosomal RNA". It matches the Rfam family "Bacterial small subunit ribosomal RNA", at positions 524 to 776 of the family's 1533-position model. The record is from RNAcentral.
UACAGAGGGGGCAAGCGUUGUCCGGAAUUACUGGGCGUAAAGCGCGCGUAGGCGGCUUCGCAAGUCGGGUGUGAAAUCCCCAGGCUUAACCUGGGAACUGCAUUCGAGACUGCAUUGCUAGAGUAUGGGAGAGGGAAGUGGAAUUUCCGGUGUAGCGGUGAAAUGCGUAGAUAUCGGAAGGAACAUCAGUGGCGAAAGCGACUUCCUGGACCAAUACUGACGCUCAUGUGCGAAAGCGUGGGGAGCAAACAGG